AGUGGACGCUGGCGGUAGGCCUAACACAUGCAAGUCGAACGGCAGCACAGUAAGAGCUUGCUCUUACGGGUGGCGAGUGGCGGACGGGUGAGGAAUACAUCGGAAUCUACUUUUUCGUGGGGGAUAACGUAGGGAAACUUACGCUAAUACCGCAUACGACCUACGGGUGAAAGCAGUGGAUCUUCGGACCUUGCGCGAUUGAAUGAGCCGAUGUGGGAUUAGCUAGUUGGCGGGGUAAAGGCCCACCAAGGCGACGAUCCGUAGCUGGUCUGAGAGGAUGAUCGGCCACACUGGAACUGAGACACGGUCCAGACUCCUACGGGAGGCAGCAGUGGGGAAUAUUGGACAAUGGGCGCAAGCCUGAUCCAGCCAUACCGCGUGGGUGAAGAAGGCCUUCGGGUUGUAAAGCCCUUUUGUUGGGAAAGAAAAGCAGCAGGUUAAUACCCCGCUGUUCUGACGGUACCCAAAGAAUAAGCACCGGCUAACUUCGUG
RNAcentral lists this ribosomal RNA (492 nucleotides) under uncultured bacterium. Its description in RNAcentral is "partial 16S ribosomal RNA". It matches the Rfam family "Bacterial small subunit ribosomal RNA", at positions 29 to 507 of the family's 1533-position model. The record is from RNAcentral.